Molecule: ribosomal RNA, 513 nt
Filed under: uncultured bacterium
Lineage: Bacteria
Description: partial 16S ribosomal RNA
Rfam family: Bacterial small subunit ribosomal RNA
Source: RNAcentral
GACGAACGCUGGCGGCGUGCCUAACACAUGCAAGUCGAACGGAGAAUUAGCAAUAAUUCUUAGUGGCGAACGGGUGAGUAACGCGUAGACAACCUACCCUUUAGAUGGGGACAACACCGCGAAAGUGGUGCUAAUACCGAAUAUUGCUUGAGAAGCGCAUGCUUUUCAAACAAAAGAUGGCCUCUAUUUAUAAGCUAUCGCUAAAGAAUGGGUCUGCGUCUGAUUAGCUAGUUGGUGAGAUAAAAGCUCACCAAGGCAACGAUCAGUAGCCGGCCCGAGAGGAUGAACGGCCACACUGGGACUGAGACACGGCCCAGACUCCUACGGGAGGCAGCAGUGGGGAAUCUUCCGCAAUGGACGAAAGUCUGACGGAGCAACGCCGCGUGAGUGAUGAAGGUUUCGGAUCGUAAAACUCUGUUGUUAAGGACGAAUGUAUAGAUUGUGAAUAAUGGUUUAUAAUGACGGUACUUAACGAGGAAGCCACGGCUAACUACGUGCCAGCCGCCGCAGUAA